This 624-nucleotide ribosomal RNA is filed under the name uncultured bacterium. RNAcentral's name for it is "bacterial SSU rRNA". It matches the Rfam family "Bacterial small subunit ribosomal RNA", at positions 393 to 1008 of the family's 1533-position model. The record is from RNAcentral.
CAUUCCGCGUGAGUGAAGAAGGCCUUCGGGUUGUAAAGCUCUUUCGGCAGGGAAGAAACGCUCUGGGUUAAUAACCCGGGGUAAUGACGGUACCUGAAGAAGAAGCACCGGCUAACUACGUGCCAGCAGCCGCGGUAAUACGUAGGGUGCGAGCGUUAAUCGGAAUUACUGGGCGUAAAGCGUGCGCAGGCGGUUUUGUAAGACAGGUGUGAAAUCCCCGGGCUUAACCUGGGAACUGCGCUUGUGACUGCAAGACUCGAGUACGGCAGAGGGGGGUGGAAUUCCACGUGUAGCAGUGAAAUGCGUAGAGAUGUGGAGGAACACCGAUGGCGAAGGCAGCCCCCUGGGUCGAUACUGACGCUCAUGCACGAAAGCGUGGGGAGCAAACAGGAUUAGAUACCCUGGUAGUCCACGCCCUAAACGAUGCCAACUAGUUGUUGGGGAAGGAGACUUCCUUAGUACCGUAGCUAACGCGUGAAGUUGGCCGCCUGGGGAGUACGGUCGCAAGAUUAAAACUCAAAGGAAUUGACGGGGACCCGCACAAGCGGUGGAUGAUGUGGAUUAAUUCGAUGCAACGCGAAAAACCUUACCUACCCUUGACAUGCCAGGAACUUGCCAGAGAUG